AAUUCCNUCUAAAGCUAAAUAUUGGCGAGAGACCGAUAGCGAACAAGUACUGUGAAGGAAAGAUGAAAAGAACUUUGAAAAGAGAGUGAAAAAGUACGUGAAAUUGUUAAAAGGGAAGGGUACUGCAUCAGACAUNGUUUAUGCUGUUCAGCAAUUUUUCGGAGUUGUGUAUUCAGUAUUACUAGGCCAAGAUGGGGUAUGUUUGUAGGAAAAAACUUUAGGAAAGUGGCUCUUCGGAGNGUUAUAGCUUAUUGUAAUACUACAUAACGUGCCNCAGGACUGCGCUUCGGCUAGGAUUUUGGCGNAAUGA
This 310-nucleotide ribosomal RNA is filed under the name Geotrichum albidum. RNAcentral's name for it is "eukaryotic LSU rRNA". It matches the Rfam family "Eukaryotic large subunit ribosomal RNA", at positions 302 to 637 of the family's 3401-position model. The record is from RNAcentral. Lineage: Eukaryota; Fungi; Ascomycota; Dipodascomycetes; Dipodascales; Dipodascaceae.